This 429-nucleotide ribosomal RNA is filed under the name uncultured bacterium. RNAcentral describes it as "bacterial SSU rRNA". It matches the Rfam family "Bacterial small subunit ribosomal RNA", at positions 355 to 776 of the family's 1533-position model. The record is from RNAcentral.
UGGGGAAUAUUGGACAAUGGGGGCAACCCUGAUCCAGCAACGCCGCGUGAAUGAAGAAGGCCUUCGGGUUGUAAAGUUCUUUUGCGUGGGAACAAAAGCAAUGUGCUAAUACCACAUUGCGUUGAUAGUACCACGAGAAUAAGCACCGGCUAACUACGUGCCAGCAGCCGCGGUAAUACGUAGGGUGCAAGCGUUAAUCGGAAUUACUGGGCGUAAAGGGUGCGCAGGCGGCUAUAUAAGUCAGAUGUGAAAUACCUAAGCUUAACUUGGGGGGUGCAUUUGAUACUGUAUGGCUAGAGUUAGUCAGAGGGGGGUAGAAUUCCUGGUGUAGCAGUGAAAUGCGUAGAGAUCAGGAGGAAUACCAAUGGCGUAGGCAGCCCCCUGGGACAAAACUGACGCUCAUGUACGAAAGCGUGGGAAGCAAACAGG